Molecule: ribosomal RNA, 425 nt
Filed under: uncultured bacterium
Lineage: Bacteria
Description: partial 16S ribosomal RNA
Rfam family: Bacterial small subunit ribosomal RNA
Source: RNAcentral
GUGGGGAAUAUUGGGCAAUGGGGGAAACCCUGACCCAGCAACGCCGCGUGAAGGAAGAAGGUUUUCGGAUCGUAAACUUCUAUCCUUGGUCAAGAUAAUGACGGUAGCCAAGAAGGAAGCCCCGGCUAACUACGUGCCAGCAGCCGCGGUAAUACGUAGGGGGCAAGCGUUGUCCGGAAUGAUUGGGCGUAAAGGGCGCGUAGGCGGCCUGGUAAGUCUGGAGUGAAAGUCCUGCUUUUAAGGUGGGAAUUGCUUUGGAUACUGUCGGGCUUGAGUGCAGGAGAGGUAAGCGGAAUUCCCGGUGUAGCGGUGAAAUGCGUAGAGAUCGGGAGGAACACCAGUGGCGAAGGCGGCUUACUGGACUGUAACUGACGCUGAGGCGCGAAAGUGUGGGGAGCAAACAGGAUUAGAUACCCCUGUAGUCC